GGGGUUGUGGCUCAGUGGUAGAGCACUUGCCUAGCAUGCCUAAGGCACUGGGUUUGAUUCUCAGCAACACAU
This 72-nucleotide transfer RNA is filed under the name Marmota marmota marmota (Alpine marmot). It matches the Rfam family "tRNA". From Rfam's summary of the family: Transfer RNA (tRNA) molecules are approximately 80 nucleotides in length. Their secondary structure includes four short double-helical elements and three loops (D, anti-codon, and T loops). Further hydrogen bonds mediate the characteristic L-shaped molecular structure. tRNAs have two regions of fundamental functional importance: the anti-codon, which is responsible for specific mRNA codon recognition, and the 3' end, to which the tRNAs corresponding amino acid is attached (by aminoacyl-tRNA synthetases). tRNAs cope with the degeneracy of the genetic code in two manners: having more than one tRNA (with a specific anti-codon) for a particular amino acid; and 'wobble' base-pairing, i.e. permitting non-standard base-pairing at the 3rd anti-codon position. The record is from Rfam by way of RNAcentral. Lineage: Eukaryota; Metazoa; Chordata; Mammalia; Rodentia; Sciuridae. RNAcentral also lists the same sequence under 3 other names.